CGAGGCGAUCAGGAAAUACUUGUUGUGUUCCUGGCUGCUGUGUUCAUGAAGACUUAAACAACAUAAAAUUUUAUAAAUUCCCCACGCAAGGCUAUAACCUCGAAAAGAGAGUAAAGUGUGUUAAAGCUGUGAAAAGAAUCAAGAGGUAAAAAGUCGGAGCAUCCUAAUAGCCCUGCAUAUCUCCCAACAAUAUUUCCUGAAAAAUAUUACGGAAAACCAAGAAUAAAUAAAUCAGAGCAAGUACAAGCACAAAGCAGAUUCGCGAGAGCAAUGCGGAGAAGUCAAAAUUCAAAUGGUUCCGAAAUGGACAACACUAAGCUUGUUAAUAUAAGAACAUGUAACGAUGACCUCAACGACAAUAAGGAUACCGAUAACCUGAAUGAUCAUAUGGAUAUACAGCAAUGUAGUGAAGUUAUCAUUGACUCACUGCAACCGCAGUUUAAAGAUGUUGCUGUACAGAUUGAUUUUCAUGAAGAAAUGAA
Long non-coding RNA from Cylas formicarius (sweet potato weevil), 482 nucleotides. RefSeq lists it as uncharacterized. The record is from RefSeq and is a predicted model, not a curated record. The transcript is spliced from 3 exons. NCBI's taxonomy places the organism in Eukaryota, Metazoa, Arthropoda, Insecta, Coleoptera, Brentidae.